This is a long non-coding RNA of Drosophila sechellia, 797 nucleotides long. RefSeq lists it as uncharacterized. The record is from RefSeq and is a predicted model, not a curated record. The transcript is spliced from 4 exons. Lineage: Eukaryota; Metazoa; Arthropoda; Insecta; Diptera; Drosophilidae.
ACCCACUUACAAAAAAUCCAAUUUAAUUUUUCGCUGCUCAAGUCACAAAACUAUUGACAAUGAAGACAAACCCGGAUCAAAUAAAACCACAAGUCUUCCAUUAUCCUAGAAAAACUAUGAAAUUUCGCGUUCGCAUUCACACUAGCUGAGUAACGGGUAUCUGAUAGUUGGGCAACUCGACUGUAGCAUUCUCUCUUGUUUUAUCUGAGGUCCACCCAAAUAAUACGCCUCUAAGAGAAGGAAUUGAACAACAUUGUAAAUGAACCAACACCACCAAAAACGAAACAGGACGUAGAAGAUUAAUUGCCCUUCAUACCUAAAAUAUUGGAAAUGUAAAGCGACAGCUAACUGAGCUCGCCAACCGUUGAAAUCCGACGAACAUAGCGUAAGGCUCGUGUGGUUGUUUGAAGAUAUUCCAAGACGCACGCGCAAAGGUCCACCUGCUCCUUGUCGGUUAUGUGGGUGGUGCUCUUGUCCUGGAAUCUCAGCCUUAUUUCAUUGUGACGAUUAUCGAUAUGAUUGCGUGCUACGAGCUUUCGCUCGAUCCUCAACUGUGGUGAAGGAUCAUGUAAUGCCCGUCCUUCCUUGGCCAUUCUAUACAGAAAAUCCCAAAAAGUUAUCAUCCUGAAUGGCCCCUCACAGGGAAUACAUCCUAGUCAGAGUUUUUUUACAGCUAUUAUACGGACGGAAGGAUGAUCUCCUUGGAAAAUAAUUAAAUUAGACAAAAUAGUUUUAGAUUUAAGAAACUUAUCAGACUUGCACCCCAAGAAAUAAUUAAAAAUAAAAUAAAUUGCUCU